Molecule: non-coding RNA, 431 nt
Organism: Castor canadensis (American beaver)
Lineage: Eukaryota; Metazoa; Chordata; Mammalia; Rodentia; Castoridae
Source: RefSeq, a predicted model, not a curated record
GCCAACUUCCCAGGGAGGCCCUGAUCACAGCUCGGGCUCCCCAAAUCACUCAAAAAUACUCAUGGUUUUUCUGUCUUCUGACAACCUUAACUUCUGAUGUUUCUGAUUUUCAGACAUGGAGAUAUAUUUAUGAAUCACACUGAAAACUGGAUUGGCUGUCAGUACAAGAAGGUGGGAAUACACCAACGGAGAAUUUGUGGAGAUCAAAGCCCGACCACCUCAAGAGGAACACUUAGAACUCCUGGGAGAAAUAAAAACUUACAGAUGGAAUGUCCCUAAAAGAUCAGGUCCAGGGCCCUCUGAUCCUAAUUGUAUUCCAUGGGUUUACUAUUCAACAGUAAACUUUGUGAAGGAUACAUAUAGUGGUUUGAUGGGUCCUCUGUUUACAUGUCGAGAAGGAGUAUUGAAUGAAAAGGGAAAAAGAAGUGAUG